UACGUAGGGGGCAAGCGUUGUCCGGAUUUAUUGGGCGUAAAGAGCGUGUAGGCGGCUUUGCAAGUCCGUUGUGAAAACUCGAGGCUCAACCUCGAGACGCCGGUGGAAACUGCAAAGCUAGAGUCCGGAAGAGGAGAGUGGAAUCCCUGGUGUAGCGGUGAAAUGCGCAGAUAUCAGGAAGAACACCCGUGGCGAAGGCGGCUCUCUGGGACGGUACUGACGCUGAGACGCGAAAGCGUGGGGAGCGAACAGG
This 253-nucleotide ribosomal RNA is filed under the name uncultured bacterium. Its description in RNAcentral is "partial 16S ribosomal RNA". It matches the Rfam family "Bacterial small subunit ribosomal RNA", at positions 524 to 776 of the family's 1533-position model. The record is from RNAcentral.